This 253-nucleotide ribosomal RNA is filed under the name uncultured bacterium. RNAcentral describes it as "partial 16S ribosomal RNA". It matches the Rfam family "Bacterial small subunit ribosomal RNA", at positions 524 to 776 of the family's 1533-position model. The record is from RNAcentral.
UACGUAGGGCGCAAGCGUUAUCCGGAAUUAUUGGGCGUAAAGAGCUCGUAGGCGGUUUGUCGCGUCUGCCGUGAAAGUCCGGGGCUCAACUCCGGAUCUGCGGUGGGUACGGGCAGACUAGAGUGAUGUAGGGGAGACUGGAAUUCCUGGUGUAGCGGUGAAAUGCGCAGAUAUCAGGAGGAACACCGAUGGCGAAGGCAGGUCUCUGGGCAUUAACUGACGCUGAGGAGCGAAAGCAUGGGUAGCGAAUGGG